GACGAACGCUGGCGGCGUGCUUAACACAUGCAAGUCGAACGGUGAAGCGCCUUCCUUUUUGGUGGGUGUGGAUGAGUGGCGAACGGGUGAGUAACACGUGAGUAACCUGCCCCCUUCUUCUGGAUAACCGCAUGAAAGUGUGGCUAAUACGGGAUAUUCUGGGUCUGUCGCAUGAUGGGUCUGGGAAAGAUAUUGUUUCGGUGGGGGAGGGGCUCGCGGCCUAUCAGCUGGUUGGUGGGGUGAUGGCCUACCAAGGCGGUGACGGGUAGCCGGCCUGAGAGGGUGGACGGUCACACUGGGACUGAGACACGGCCCAGACUCCUACGGGAGGCAGCAGUGGGGAAUAUUGCACAAUGGGCGCAAGCCUGAUGCAGCGACGCCGCGUGAGGGAUGGAGGCCUUCGGGUUGUGAACCUCUUUCGCCAGUGAAGCAGGCCUGCCUCGUUUGUGGGUGGGUUGACGGUAGCUGGAUAAGAAGCGCCGGCUAACUACGUG
This 494-nucleotide ribosomal RNA is filed under the name uncultured bacterium. Its description in RNAcentral is "partial 16S ribosomal RNA". It matches the Rfam family "Bacterial small subunit ribosomal RNA", at positions 28 to 507 of the family's 1533-position model. The record is from RNAcentral.